RNAcentral lists this ribosomal RNA (312 nucleotides) under uncultured bacterium. RNAcentral's name for it is "bacterial SSU rRNA". It matches the Rfam family "Bacterial small subunit ribosomal RNA", at positions 181 to 507 of the family's 1533-position model. The record is from RNAcentral.
UCCUGCUGCAUGGUGGGGUUGGAAAGUUUCGGCGGUUGGGGAUGGACUCGCGGCUUAUCAGCUUGUUGGUGGGGUAGUGGCUUACCAAGGCUUUGACGGGUAGCCGGCCUGAGAGGGUGACCGGCCACAUUGGGACUGAGAUACGGCCCAGACUCCUACGGGAGGCAGCAGUGGGGAAUAUUGCACAAUGGGUGGAAGCCUGAUGCAGCAACGCCGUGUGCGGGAUGACGGCCUUCGGGUUGUAAACCGCUUUCGCUCAUGACGAAGCUUUGUGUGACGGUAGUGGGUAAAGAAGCACCGGCUAACUACGUG